This 256-nucleotide unclassified non-coding RNA is filed under the name Hevea brasiliensis (rubber tree). The record is from RNAcentral. Lineage: Eukaryota; Viridiplantae; Streptophyta; Magnoliopsida; Malpighiales; Euphorbiaceae.
GCAUCUCGCUGUUCGGGACCGUCUUCCUGAGCAACCGCGGAUUGAUCGUUCCCGAUCCAGUACCGCAGCAAGGAUUUGGCGUGUUCGUGGCCGCCAUCGUGAUCGCUGUCGCGGCGUCGCUGCUGAUGCGCUUCCAUGCCCGCAGGCAAUUGUUUGCCGCCGGUGUGAAGGUGACGAUCUGGCCGUUCGUGCUGNGCUGGUCGGUCUUCCCGCGCUGGCUAUCCUGAUUUUCGGCGCGCCGUUCGCAUUCGACAUG